UGGCUUAGAUGGUAAAGAACCUGCCUGCAAUGCAGGAGACCCAGCUUCGAUCCCUGG
Molecule: transfer RNA, 57 nt
Filed under: Capra hircus (goat)
Lineage: Eukaryota; Metazoa; Chordata; Mammalia; Artiodactyla; Bovidae
Also listed under: 1 other name
Rfam family: tRNA
About the family: Transfer RNA (tRNA) molecules are approximately 80 nucleotides in length. Their secondary structure includes four short double-helical elements and three loops (D, anti-codon, and T loops).
Source: Rfam by way of RNAcentral